Molecule: long non-coding RNA, 1650 nt
Filed under: Heterocephalus glaber (naked mole-rat)
Lineage: Eukaryota; Metazoa; Chordata; Mammalia; Rodentia; Bathyergidae
Description: lncRNA (ENSHGLG00100045740.1)
Source: RNAcentral
CACGAGCACCACUAAACGAGCGCUGAGCCGCGCGGGGCCAGAAGCUGGACCGGCGCGCACACCUGCCUUGCCUGUCACCUGGAGCCUCUGAGACCCGCCCACAGCCGUCUGGGCUGUGUCCACCGUGAGAACCAGAGCUUUGUUCUCCCCAGGAUCCCGGAGACGCGCCAUUGUUACUUCGGGACACCUGGGGGCCGCGUAAGGACAGGAAAUUUUUGUUUUUCAAAUAGAAUUGACGAAUAAAAGCAAAUAACUACUUCUUUUGUGAAGUCUUGGAAAAUGCUACCUAAAAUGGAGUCCCCGUGGUCAGAGAGACACAUUCGAGGAACCUAAGAUCAUCAAGAGGCUGCGGCUGAGCUGUGGCCUAGCCACUUGCCGCUGUGACCCCCACUGACCAAUCAGCUGUGGACUCCUGGACUUUGUUGAUCGCCUGCACCAACCAGCCCGGCUUUGCCUUCUUUGACUCAAGCCCUUUGUUCUCUUUCCCACACACACUGUUAGUUUUAUUCGAAUCUUUGUAUUCCGAAUUGCAGCUUCUAAGACCCUAAAGAAAGCUGUCUUGGUUUUUUUCAGCCUCGAUAUUGAUAACUGGUUAUUCUUGUAGCAUUUUCUAAGGUUAUUAAAACAUGUUCUGCAGGUAGCUAGCUUGUAAAGCUAAGCGGGACAACGUCAUGGUCAUCAGCGGUCACACAGUGCCCUCUGGUGGCUCCGUGAGAAAACGACACGCAGGCUCCAGGACACCAUGGUAAACUGACAUUGAAAUAAUGCUAUUAGGUCAAAGUCCUCUAAUAUUCAGCGUUUUGGGAGUGCCUUAUCGAGGAAGUCCCUGUUGAGGACUUCAGGUAGAGAUGCAACAGGAGGUGGGAUUCGGUUUGUGGUGUCUGUAAGACAGCAAUCCAGAGGUGUGUAAACCCCUAGCCCUGAGCCUGACUGCUGAGGGUGGAGACGCAGAACUGCCACCCCCAGACCCGCAGUGAGCACCUGCCACAGCCCCCAGCCUCCCGGGGAAGCUGGGUCCAGCCCCACCUUCAUUGUUCUAUUCACUCAGCUCCCACACUGCUGGCCUGGCCACCAGGGGCCCCACUGCUGAACACAAACACACUUACCACGCUAUGCUGUUCUUCUCCACAAUGCAAUUUUUUUUUUCCCUCUGUACCGGAGAUUGAGCUCAGGACCUUGUAUUCGAGAGACAAGCGCGGUGCCACUGAGCUAAAUCCCUGGCCCUUCCACAAUGUUACCUCAAUAAAUUUUGGAAUUUGAAAUGGACAAAGUAUUUGAAAGAAGAACAAAAAGAAAGGAUUACAGUAAUGAUUGGACUGCCCUGCAUGGGUGUGGCUGUUACAAACAGCACACGUGAAACCACUCUCUGGAGUUAAGGCUUUUUGUGAGGAAAAGAAAAGUUUAUCCUAGAGACUAAAAUCAGUGGCUAAAAUUAGGGAUAGAUUUUUAGCAGCUAUCUGGGAAAAGCUAAGUUUAUUACAUCCAUUUAUUACAGGAUGGGCUGACAUUGGGAGAGCAGCUAGCUGGGAGAGAUUUCAUCCAGGAGUGGAUGGGCUAACAUCAGGAGAGAGACAUUAACAGCUAACUGGGAAAGGAUUAGGCUUAUGUAGGUAUUGAAGGGGCUGAGGAAUCCGGGGUGGAAUGUUUAUG